Molecule: ribosomal RNA, 891 nt
Filed under: Lysobacter soli
Lineage: Bacteria; Pseudomonadati; Pseudomonadota; Gammaproteobacteria; Lysobacterales; Lysobacteraceae
Description: bacterial SSU rRNA
Rfam family: Bacterial small subunit ribosomal RNA
Source: RNAcentral
UCAGAGUUUGGAUCCUGGCUCAGAGUGAACGCUGGCGGCAGGCCUAACACAUGCAAGUCGAACGGCAGCACAGAGGAGCUUGCUCCUUGGGUGGCGAGUGGCGGACGGGUGAGGAAUGCAUCGGAAUCUGCCUAUUUGUGGGGGAUAACGUAGGGAAACUUACGCUAAUACCGCAUACGUCCUACGGGAGAAAGUGGGGGACCUUCGGGCCUCACGCAGAUAGAUGAGCCGAUGCCGGAUUAGCUAGUUGGCGGGGUAAAGGCCCACCAAGGCGACGAUCCGUAGCUGGUCUGAGAGGAUGAUCAGCCACACUGGAACUGAGACACGGUCCAGACUCCUACGGGAGGCAGCAGUGGGGAAUAUUGGACAAUGGGCGCAAGCCUGAUCCAGCCAUGCCGCGUGUGUGAAGAAGGCCUUCGGGUUGUAAAGCACUUUUGUCCGGAAAGAAAAGCGCUCGAUUAAUACUCGGGUGUUAUGACGGUACCGGAAGAAUAAGCACCGGCUAACUUCGUGCCAGCAGCCGCGGUAAUACGAAGGGUGCAAGCGUUACUCGGAAUUACUGGGCGUAAAGCGUGCGUAGGUGGUUUGUUAAGUCUGAUGUGAAAGCCCUGGGCUCAACCUGGGAACUGCAUUGGAAACUGGCUUACUAGAGUGCGGUAGAGGGGUGUGGAAUUCCCGGUGUAGCAGUGAAAUGCGUAGAUAUCGGGAGGAACAUCUGUGGCGAAGGCGACACCCUGGACCAGCACUGACACUGAGGCACGAAAGCGUGGGGAGCAAACAGGAUUAGAUACCCUGGUAGUCCACGCCCUAAACGAUGCGAACUGGAUGUUGGGGGCAACUUGGCCCUCAGUAUCGAAGCUAACGCGUUAAGUCGCCGCCUGUAGAUGGCCC